GAGAUUGCGGUCAGAGGAGGCACAUCCGAACAUGUUUCGUCCUCGAACGUGUCGCCUGACGAUCCGCUCGCGCUCCACUCGAAUCUCUGUCCUACAUUUACGGCGCACUUGGUCAUGGUUUGUGCUGAUGGAGGUGUAAUUCCUGCCCAGCUACUGUCUCUGAUGCCCCCGUGAGAAAAGCCCGUGGGCUUCAGGUAUGACGAGCUCAUUGGCCGGCUCGCUGACGGAUGUCCCAGGAACAGGGGCCUCGACGGACAGGACUCCAUCACCGGACAAUGACGAGCUGAUGUGCUGCAAGUCCACCCCCUGCGGCAACCUUGGACGAGCGAAGAAGAGUCAUUUUCACCAACCAUCACAUCAACUCACGCACACUCAACUUACAGUCGCUGAAUGUAGCUGAGCAAACUUUUCUUUGUUGCCACGGUGUGUACAUUUCUGACAGAUUCGUCAGGAAUGUUAAUAUGUGGCAGCUUGCUACAGCAUACUUAUUUUCAUUGACCUCUUCCUAUGCAAUGGAAAUGAACAUAUGUAGGUUUAUUUCUCAAAACUCUUCAGAGAUGACCUACUUAUAUUUCCGGUUGAAGCAUCUUGAAACUGAUCCAUGCCGAUCUUGCCUUUCUUCAUGAUUUCCUUCCAAUGAA
Molecule: long non-coding RNA, 641 nt
Organism: Scophthalmus maximus (turbot)
Lineage: Eukaryota; Metazoa; Chordata; Actinopteri; Pleuronectiformes; Scophthalmidae
Exons: 3
Source: RefSeq, a predicted model, not a curated record